RNAcentral lists this microRNA precursor (77 nucleotides) under Myotis davidii. Its description in RNAcentral is "mir-9229 microRNA precursor family". Lineage: Eukaryota; Metazoa; Chordata; Mammalia; Chiroptera; Vespertilionidae. The record is from Rfam by way of RNAcentral.
GGGAUCACCCUUAUGAUGCAGGACUUACUUCAGUGGGGCUGUGGUACUCACUGAGUCUGCCCCUUGAGUGUGUCGCU